GACGAACGCUGGCGGUGUGCUUAACACAUGCAAGUCGAACGGUAAGGCCCUUUCGGGGGUACACGAGUGGCGAACGGGGGAGUAACACGUGGGUAACCUGCCCUCAUCUCUGGGAUAACGGUCGGAAACGGUUGCUAAUACUGGAUAUGAGCUUGCAAGGCAUCUUGUGGGUUGGAAAGAUUUUUUUGGUUGGGGAUGGACUCGCGGCCUAUCAGCUUGUUGGUGAGGUAGUGGCUCACCAAGGCUUCGACGGGUAGCCGGCCUGAGAGGGCGACCGGCCACAUUGGGACUGAGAUACGGCCCAAACUCCUACGGGAGGCAGCAGUGGGGAAGAUUGCACAAUGGACGGAAGUCUGAUGCAGCAACGCCGCGUGCGGGAUGACGGCCUUCGGGUUGUAAACCGCUUUCAAUUGUGACGAAGCUUUUUGUGACGGUAGCAGUAGAAGAAGCACCGGCUAACUACGUG
Molecule: ribosomal RNA, 466 nt
Filed under: uncultured bacterium
Lineage: Bacteria
Description: partial 16S ribosomal RNA
Rfam family: Bacterial small subunit ribosomal RNA
Source: RNAcentral